UAGCAUGAGGUAACACAUCUUCGAUCAAGAGCAAAGUUAUGGAUCUCCUCAUUCACCUCAAGAUCGUAAUUUCUUGAGCUGACGCGAAUUCGAUGUAAAAUAUCUUCGGACAUGUUAUCUUUGUAUUUGUUCCACAGGUAAAGUGGGUUCGAUGGGAAGCAUGUUGAAAUGAUGAUUGCAAAUAAUGUGCGUAUCUGACUUGGAGAUGCAGAAAUAAUUUCUUCAGCGAUUGUCGUGUCCCAAUGAGUAUCGUUUUCAAGAAAAUUUAGCUCUUGACAUGCUGCACGAAAUGUGGGGCACACGAUACCAUUAACAGUUCGCAGUGAUUCAAAUGAUGUUGGCCCUCGAACAUGUACCAGCAACAACCGCAAAUAGAAACAUUCAUCAUUCUUCGGAUGAACUGUGUAAAUACGACCAAGAGCAUCAGCAGAACGCAUAUCUGGAUGACCAGGAACUGCAUCGCCUUGCUUCCGACGUUGAAAUUUCUUCGAAGAGCGUUCCAAGUGUAAUAACGUGGCAUUUCUGAGUAAAGCAAAGUUCGUGCGAACGGAUCGCUUGACAAAUCGCAAAGAAACUGGUCAGUGUUGUCGCUGGGGGUGUUUCGGCACAUUGAGCACCAUUCGACGCUGUGGAAUAUACUCUCUGACCGUUCUCUAGAUGCACCCCCAAAUGUAAAACAGUGGGAUGACGUUCGUGAAUAGGGAAUGAAAAUAUACGCCAAAUUGCUUCAUUGCCGUUCACAUAUCUACCAACUUGAUAGCGCGUGAUUUCAUCUUUGGUAUUGGAUGAAACAAAUAAAUAAAGCAAAUAUUAAAUAUGAUUAAAC
This 826-nucleotide long non-coding RNA is filed under the name Drosophila guanche. Lineage: Eukaryota; Metazoa; Arthropoda; Insecta; Diptera; Drosophilidae. The record is from RNAcentral.